AAUCAACGCUGGCGGCGUGCCUCAGACAUGCAAGUCGAACGCGAAAGUUCCCUUCGGGGGAUGAGUAGAGUGGCGCACGGGUGAGUAACACGUAGGUAAUCUACCUUCGGAUGGGGAAUAACAACCGGAAACGGUUGCUAAUACCGCAUAAUGCAGCGGCACCUAAAUGGUGACAGUUGUUAAAGCGGGGGAUCGAAAGACCUCGCGUCUGAAGAGGAGCCUGCGGCGGAUUAGCUAGUUGGUAGGGUAACGGCCUACCAAGGCUACGAUCCGUAGCCGGCCUGAGAGGGCGGUCGGCCACACUGACACUGACAUACGGGUCAGACUCCUACGGGAGGCAGCAGUCGGGAAUUUUGGGCAAUGGGCGAAAGCCUGACCCAGCAACGCCGCGUGAA
Molecule: ribosomal RNA, 395 nt
Filed under: uncultured bacterium
Lineage: Bacteria
Description: bacterial SSU rRNA
Rfam family: Bacterial small subunit ribosomal RNA
Source: RNAcentral